This 484-nucleotide ribosomal RNA is filed under the name uncultured bacterium. RNAcentral's name for it is "partial 16S ribosomal RNA". It matches the Rfam family "Bacterial small subunit ribosomal RNA", at positions 29 to 507 of the family's 1533-position model. The record is from RNAcentral.
AUUGAACGCUGGCGGCAGGCCUAACACAUGCAAGUCGAGCGGAUGAAGGGAGCUUGCUCCUGGAUUCAGCGGCGGACGGGUGAGUAAUGCCUAGGAAUCUGCCUGGUAGUGGGGGGUAACGUCCGGAAACGGGCGCUACUACCGCCUACGUCCUGAGGGAGAAAGUGGGGGAUCUUCGGACCUCACGCUAUCAGAUGAGCCUAGGUCGGAUUAGCUAGUUGGUGGGGUAAAGGCCUACCAAGGCGACGAUCCGUAACUGGUCGGAGAGGAUGAUCAGUCACACGGGAACUGAGACACGGUCCAGAGUCCUACGGGAGGCAGCAGUGGGGAAUAGUGGACAAUGGGCGAAAGCCUGAUCCAGCCAGGCCGCGUGUGUGAAGAAGGUCUUCGGAUUGUAAAGCACGUUAAGUUGGGAGGAAGGGCAGUAAGUUAAGACCUUGCUGUUUUGACGGUACCAACAGAAGAAGCACCGGCUAACUACGUG